This 253-nucleotide ribosomal RNA is filed under the name uncultured bacterium. RNAcentral's name for it is "partial 16S ribosomal RNA". It matches the Rfam family "Bacterial small subunit ribosomal RNA", at positions 524 to 776 of the family's 1533-position model. The record is from RNAcentral.
UACGGAGGGUGCGAGCGUUGUCCGGAAUCACUGGGCGUAAAGGGCGCGUAGGCGGCCUGGUAAGUAGGGGGUGAAAUCCUGCGGCUUAACCGCAGGGCUGCCUUCUAAACUGUCAGGCUCGAGCACGGUAGAGGCAGAUGGAAUUCCCGGUGUAGCGGUGGAAUGCGUAGAGAUCGGGAAGAACAUCAGUGGCGAAGGCGGUCUGCUGGGCCGUUGCUGACGCUGAGACGCGAAAGCGUGGGGAGCAAACAGG